GUAGAGGGAACAUUCAUCUUACUCUUCAUCACAUCCGUAAGCAAAACCGCCUCUGAAGCCUUGAAAUCAUAAGUCUGCAUCUUUGCAGGCGACACUAGUCUGUUGCUGGGAGUCUUCUACAAGACAAUCAGCAGCCACAAUACUGAAUUGUGGUUCACAGAUCAAACACUAGUGACCCAUUAUAUAAGAAUAUCUCAUGGGUUAAAAUAUGACCGGCUCCGUCUAGGAAUAGAUGGACUAUUGCGUUCCG
This 250-nucleotide unclassified non-coding RNA is filed under the name plant metagenome. Its description in RNAcentral is "partial contains small subunit ribosomal RNA, internal transcribed spacer 1, and 5.8S ribosomal RNA". The record is from RNAcentral.